This 117-nucleotide small RNA is filed under the name Macaca mulatta (Rhesus monkey). RNAcentral describes it as "Metazoan signal recognition particle RNA (ENSMMUG00000052758.1)". RNAcentral also lists the same sequence under 1 other name. Lineage: Eukaryota; Metazoa; Chordata; Mammalia; Primates; Cercopithecidae. The record is from Rfam by way of RNAcentral.
GCCAGGCGUGGUGGCUCAUGCCUGUAAUCCCAGCACUUUUGGAGGCUGAGGCAGGUGGAUCACUUGAGGCCAGGAGUUCAAGACCAGCCUGGCCAACAUGGAGAUACCUUGUCUCUA